This is a long non-coding RNA of Humulus lupulus (European hop), 1088 nucleotides long. RefSeq lists it as uncharacterized. The record is from RefSeq and is a predicted model, not a curated record. The transcript is spliced from 3 exons. Lineage: Eukaryota; Viridiplantae; Streptophyta; Magnoliopsida; Rosales; Cannabaceae.
ACUAAUGAUCUUGAAAUUAUUACCAGGUCGUUGAGCAUGGUCUGGGACAUCUGCCAUUUACAGAAAAACAGGUGGUCACUCCAACUGAGUCCGUGUAUACUGGUGUAGAUUUCUGUAAGAGAUUAUGUGGUGUGUCUAUAAUCAGGAGCGGUGAGAGUAUGGAGAAUGCUCUUAGAGCAUGUUGUAAGGGAAUCAAGAUUGGGAAAAUUCUAAUCCACAGAGAAGGAGACAAUGGCCAGCAGGUUUCGAUUCCCUGUAUGAUUGUCUUUCAUUUUUUAAUCAACGUAUUUCUAUGAUUCCAUUUUUUAAUCAACCUCUAUGAUAAACUAUUGGUGUUCCAGAUGCUGUUCAAAGAGGUGUACAACCAGAUCAGAUUAUUUUCACAGAUGUUGCCAUGAAGGGUGAACAUAUCAAGCGCAGUACUUUAGCAAAUUUAUUCUUGGACACGUAAGCAUGCUUAAUACUUUUUUUUUCUAUUUUUUUAUUAUUCAAGUGUAUUUAUCUUAGUACAAUACAGUAUGUAACUUUAUUUUGACAUUUGAUGUUGCUAUUGCUGAUUGAUUUUGCUAUUGCUGUUUUGUUUCUUUAUUUUUUUUUGGUGGUGUGUGCUCUGUAGCAUUGCAUUUAGUUAGCUUAAUAUUUAGCUCAUAUUUUCUUGAGUCGUUGCACCAGAAUUCCCUUAAUCAAGAGCCAUAUUCUAUCAGAAGUGAAUCAUGUCUUGUUAACAGAAUGAUUUUUCAACUGGUUACAGGUCUUUCCCAGAGCUUGGACAGCAAUUUUGAUUUCUCUAGACAAUAGUGGCAUGUGGAACCUUCGAAUAGACAAUCUAAACUCGUGGUAUCUAGGCCAGGAAACGUACAUUAGUGUUGUAAACUCUGAGUUUGUGAGAAGAAUUGCAGAAGCAGCAGAAAGUAAGUUCAAUUCAAUUUCGUUUUCUGGUUUUAGAUAUGCAACACGCAUUUUAUUGAUGUUUCCUCUUUUUUAUUUCUAUUUAAUGUGAUAAACAUUUCCAAGUCUAUACUUUACAUUUAUUCAAUAAGACCAAAUAAGAAAAGAAGAAGAAAGAAAAAAGUCUACUGUUCUUAAAG